Molecule: ribosomal RNA, 590 nt
Filed under: Aspergillus niger
Lineage: Eukaryota; Fungi; Ascomycota; Eurotiomycetes; Eurotiales; Aspergillaceae
Description: partial large subunit ribosomal RNA
Rfam family: Eukaryotic large subunit ribosomal RNA
Source: RNAcentral
CCCACGGGCAUUGCAUCAGUACGGCGAGUGAAGCGGCAAGAGCUCAAAUUUGAAAGCUGGCUCCUUCGGAGUCCGCAUUGUAAUUUGCAGAGGAUGCUUUGGGUGCGGCCCCCGUCUAAGUGCCCUGGAACGGGCCGUCAGAGAGGGUGAGAAUCCCGUCUUGGGCGGGGUGUCCGUGCCCGUGUAAAGCUCCUUCGACGAGUCGAGUUGUUUGGGAAUGCAGCUCUAAAUGGGUGGUAAAUUUCAUCUAAAGCUAAAUACUGGCCGGAGACCGAUAGCGCACAAGUAGAGUGAUCGAAAGAUGAAAAGCACUUUGAAAAGAGAGUUAAACAGCACGUGAAAUUGUUGAAAGGGAAGCGCUUGCGACCAGACUCGCCCGCGGGGUUCAGCCGGCAUUCGUGCCGGUGUACUUCCCCGUGGGCGGGCCAGCGUCGGUUUGGGCGGCCGGUCAAAGGCCCCUGGAAUGUAGUACCCUCCGGGGUACCUUAUAGCCAGGGGUGCAAUGCGGCCAGCCUGGACCGAGGAACGCGCUUCGGCACGGACGCUGGCAUAAUGGUCGUAAACGACCCGUCUUGAAAACCGGGACCAAA